Molecule: long non-coding RNA, 7312 nt
Organism: Vespula vulgaris
Lineage: Eukaryota; Metazoa; Arthropoda; Insecta; Hymenoptera; Vespidae
Exons: 3
Source: RefSeq, a predicted model, not a curated record
UGAAGGGCUGCAACGAGCGAAAACGAAGAAUCGAUUAGUAUGAAAGGUCGGUUAAUACGUUUAGACGGUAGGAAAGAUUAAUGAAAGAUGGUCGGGCUAUCCGAAAGUCAACGUUCUCCUGCUUGGCACGUAAUAACGACAACCGUAGUAGAACAAACCGCAUCGACGUAUCGCGGCGGACGAUGGACGCCGUUAAUAGGUACUUACAGGGCGUCGCUUCUCACGAGCUCGUUGUCGCACAGGAGGAAAUGGAUAGCGAGCGGCGCACGUAUACGAUGUAUAACGUCGAAAAGGGAAGGAAGGAGGAGGCGGUGGCCAGGGGAUGAAGUUGACGAGAGGUAGCGAGGGCUGGGUACUGGCUUUGCAUAUACGGUCCGCACGUACGGGAAGCUGCGGAUCGAUGACGAGCUCGAGAAACUUUGAAGCACGUGUGUGCAGAGGGAGAGACGAGCAAACACUGUUCCACCGUCCUAGCCUACCGUGAAAUAUGAAUGAAGAGAAAUUUUCUUUCCUGUCUCUUUGUAUAACCACCGCGUUUCUUAGCUAUUUCAUUCUUCCUUGCUCGAUCUUGCUCGCUGUCUUUCUUCUUCCCUUUACCGUUACACUUUCAUACGUUCCCCUCUAUAUAUAUAUGUUCGACCGUAGUACUUCGUUCCGAAAGAGUACCGAAAGAAUACGAUCUCGGUAACUUUGAAUUCUAGAGCUCGUUUUAACCGAGCUCUCUCGUUCGAUCUCCUCUCUCUCGACAAGAAACAAAGGGAAGGAUUUUAAAGGUUGCGCUUUCUCAAAGGAAUCGGACCGAUCUUUAGUUCCUUUUUAUUACAUCAAAGAUUUCGUCUCGGUAAAACGAUCGUCAAAGACGCGCGAGAACACGAUCGAGACUCUCUCUCUCGAGGCUUCAUCUUUCGAUUUCGUCGACUCUUUAAUUUCGUUCGAUUACAUAUUUACCUUGACCUUUGACGAAUCGAUAUCCUCUUUUCUCUCUCUCUCUCUCUCUCUCUAUCUCGUUUCUUCGCCUCCCCAGCCGUUUGAAAUCCUACCUCAUUUCCGUGGGCGAUCGUUCCGGCGACUCGGGCUCCCUUUACGCCAAGUCCAGUUUUCUUUAACGAGCGAGUCGUCGGAAACGUGUCGUGCUCCGUACGGGCAAAGUAUCGAAUCGAUGUAAUCCAUCUUUUUCGAGAAACACGACCCGCGCGAGAAAUCGGGUAUAUCCGUACGUACCGUUUUUACAGACAAAAGUAUAAAUUCCAGCGUACAGUUCUGUCCGUUUUAUGUGAAACAUUUUUCUUUAGGUAUUUAAAAAUAAUUGUACGCUAAGCAGGCAGAGAACUUUUCGGUAGACUUAACAUUUAAAUGAACAAGAUUACUCGAGAGGUACAGUGCGGAAAUAUUUGUAAAACUGCGUUUAGAAUGGUCGUAUACCAUCGUAGUAUAAUGGAGUCGGAUUUACGUGUACCCGCUGACACUUUUUUUCCCUCGAAGAAUUCGAAAAAGAGAAGAGAAAAUAAAAAAAGGUACGGAGAAAGAAAUUCUCGUCGGAGUUAUUUUUCGCCUCGUGCAUUCAACUCGCGCUCGGUGUUAUGAAAUUUUGGCGGCGCGGAGAGCGAGCGAGCGCGAGAGAAACUAAAGAUUCCAUCGAUGAAAGAAGUACGCGGUAUCCCGCUAGACUCUCGUGAAUGCGUCGGGAUAUUGCCGUAAGUCGAGGAAUAUUGCGUUUCCGCGACAACCGUCUUCUUCGCCGUUCGUUUCCCUCUCUCUCCCUCGCUUUAUCGAUCAUUUCCAACACGAACGCGAACACCAACACGGGGUAGGCGUUCACGCAAAUGCGUACGUGUGCGAGAGACCGAUAGACUUCCGGGAAAGGAAAGGAGGAGAGAAAAAAAGAAACGUUUUCCCGUUUGUGCCAUCGCACAAAGGGCCUGUAACCAGCUCGAGUUCCUUUUUAAGGAACGAGACCAAGUUCUCCGUUAAAAAGAGUGCUUCACUCGCGUUAAAUAUCCCGUGAACUUUUUCGAUUCGGCGACGUCGCUUCGAAUCGAGCCGUCGAUCGAGCGUAUCUUAUUUACUCCUCGACUACGAAGAUAACGACAUUAAUCCUCCAGUUUCGUAAAGGAAGGGCUUUGCUUCUCGAGAAUGGAUAAUUUAUGUCUCAUGGCUAUCGAAAAUAUUUGCGAUAUGCAUGAAACAUGAGCGGCCAAGGUACAAAGACGUCUCGUAUACGUACGUACAUUCGAUACGUAUCGUAGGAGACGCUGCCGAGAGGAAUAUGAUUUAAGAUAUACUUUUUUAUUAGCUAGGAGACGAGCUCUUUGCUUUAUGAUAAAUAGAGGUGUCGGAGACGCGAUCUUUCAUCGGAUAGGACGAAGAACGUUCGCUCGUUGUCAUUCGAGAAAGCUCUCGGUUUUCAACGCGGGUCGUAACUUUCGCUUUGAUUCGAAGAAACCUCGAAAUCCCUCUGUAAUACUCUUGAAUGUUUGUUUUUCUUAUCUCUCGAAACGGAAGUGUCUUCUUGCCGAUUCCAGGAGGAUUCAAUUUCGCAUGUAUCACGGAAUUCGCGAAUACGAUAUUUCUUUGGUCUCGGAAGGGGGAAGAGAGAGAAAGAGAUACAUGUAUUCCCACUAGGUAUCCAAUUUUCCAUCGUACCAACGAACGUACCAAUCGACGUUUUAUUGUCGUCACAAAAAACUCGUGGCUGGAAAAACGCAAAGUGGAAACACGAAAGAAAAUCGUUAUAGGAUGUGCGCUCUGGAUGCGCCAAAGUGUUGUACCACCGUGCUACCGCGUAUAUCAUCGUUCUCUUCCUUUUGUCUCUUUGUUAUUCGUAUUUUUUCAUAAAAGGUUAACCACAUUAGCUUUCCGCAUGGAGGAUUUAUCUCGGACGGUCUUUUCCAGAAAACCAAACGAGCUACCAUCUCGAAUUCACCGCGUUAGCGAGUAUUUAGCGUUAUCUUGAAAAUCGUAGACUUUGAAGCACUCGCGCAAAUUUUAAAUCUCGUUCGGCCAAGUUUCCGGGAUAGGUCAGUUUCCCAAAGUCGCGUCCUCGGAUAAAAAUUAACGUUUUACUUUUCUCCAAGGGUUUCUCCUAAAAGCAAUAUUAUCAUAAAAUAAUACGACAGUAAAUUUGCAAACAAUUCCGCCCGCAAACUUUCAACAUAAGCCACUUGUCCUCGUUCCCCGUCCAACGAAACUUUCUAAGAGCGUCCUUCAAUAAACUCGAAACAGGUGGUAUUAAAGGGUAGCGGAACACAAAGCCUGCGUAUAAUCCUCGUAUUUUCGAGGGAAGUCAAACACGCGGUAUUUCGACUAUUUCUCCGAGUCGUCCUCGGCGAACGAUUAAAAAUCGUCGCGAGUUAAAGAGAGAAAGAAUUCCAAACUCUUGGCUAGGAUUUAGAGGAUAGCAAUAUAGGGCGGAGCGUACGAUAAUUGGCAUAAUCGUGAGAAAUUCCAGACGGUCUCUUGGUAGCCCCGUAACGAAUGUAGGUAACAACGCUCGUUGCGCGGCUAAGUAUCUUGCGUUGUAAUUCGUAAAGUCGUAGAAAGGUAAUUGAAACUGGCAAAGUCUAGUGUACGCGAGAGAACAGAGAGAGAGAGAGAGAGAGAGAGAGAGGAAAGGAAAAGGAGCAGGAGAUUUGUUGUGUGCGGGGACGUUAGGGAGGCAAUGCAGGUGCCAAUGCGGCAACCAAGUUCCGACCGAAUCCGUACACAAACAUUUAAUUCGCCCAAAUCGAUAAGCGUCGUCGGCGCCUUUGCCAUCGCCGCGACGACGAAACUUUGCAACUUUCGAAGCAGGAAUUGAAUUUCAAAUUCCUUGCAAUCGAUAUUUCGAAAACGGAUGAACGUCCUACGUUCGUCGUACGUGUCUUCGUGUACUUACUUUCGUCCAUCCUUUUCUUCUCCGUCUACCGCGUCUACGUUUCGUCUAUGUACGCGCGACGUGAUCGCAAUAAGAAAUAAAAAAGAAAAGAUUCGUCCUUUAAGCAGGUGUUGCCCCGACUUUCCAACUCGAUUCGUAACUCUUGUUCCCUGGCUUUACUCGGGAUUCGAUCUCUUCUCGGAGCUUUUCAAAGACGAGGUCGCCCGCGAAUCGCAAUGAUUUAGAUUUUUCCUAAAGUCGACGCUCCUCGUCGAGGCUCCCCUCUCCUUCGACCCUGAACACGAUCUUUUACGUUUUUUCAGCAGCGCGCGACUUCGAGCAUCCCUCUUUGGAGAUUUAUCGGAGAUUAAAAUAUAGUCGAUAGUCGCUUUUUCUCGGAUGACUUUAUUCAACGUGUCGUCGUAACGAUCGCGUUUCCGUAACGCGCCACGGAUUAUUACGGCCAGAUGUCACGCGAAAAAGUAAAUAUGUAAAUGUUUGCUUUUUCACGUAACAUCCGAGCACAGAGCGAGAGAGAAGAGUUCGGUUCGAGCAUCGUAGAGCAAAUAUAUUCUUCGUUGGCUUCUUCAUUAUCGUAGCAGGCUGCAACUCUCGCAAAAUGAACUGCUUCAUAGACCGGCGUUGCUGCAUUCGCAGUUAGCUCCGCUCUUAUGAAAGCACGACGGAUUGUUGGAUGGCUAUCGACGUAAUUCGUCUCUCGCUUCUUUACGAGCCAUCCUCUCUUUCUCCCUCCCUCCCUCUCCCUCUCUCGAUCUCAUUUUUGUAAUUUGCAAUUCAUGAGAGUGGAACGACACUUUUCUUUACGCUAUUUUUCGUCUCGUUUACCCGGGAAAGAAACCAAAUUCGCAUUCUCCGUCCUUUGCCUCUCGUUUGAAAAGAUCUAUGAGAAGAGAAACCUAAUUUUCGGAGUUCUCCCUUUUAUAACGUCCGAUACUAGACGUUCCUUUGGAAGUAUUUAAAAGUCGCGUGCGCGGAGCUCGGAGAAAACGAGUCGCAGAAAUAUUCGGACACUUAGCGAGUCCGUAAAUACGCGGAUACGCGCGUACGUAUCGGCGCGAUCGAUAUUCGUUCGUCCGGAUGUCGAGAGAUAAUACCAUUCGUGACGUAUAGCGUAUUUACAUUAAUAUGGAAAUUGGCUAAACAUUAUGCUAUAUCGUGCAUUCUCCCGUACGUACCCAGGCGUGCACGUUUGACAGGACGUACGAUGGAUACAACUUAUUUUUACAUACGCCAUUGAUCGUUUCAUCGAGCGUUUUAAUGUACGGCAAAUAUUGAAAAGGUUCGUCGAUUUGGAAUGAAUGGGACGCAUCGAGAAGAAAAGAGAAAAAGAAGGAGAUUGAAAAUAAAUAAACAUAUCUAUGGUAAAAACGUUGCCGUCUAACUAACGGGCGGUCGACCGAUCGAAUUGCAUGUAAACACUCGCAUUGAUAGCCAUUCGUCACAUUUUUUUCUUCCCACUAUGCCACGUACAUAAAAUUUCGCCUGUUCUCUCUCUUUCUCUCUUCGUCUCCCUCCGUUUCCCCCCUUUACUCUUUCUCUCGCAUUCGUGGUGUGCACACCUGCUCGACGCGAGACAGUGGAUGGUUGAUAAACGAUCCGGGUCGCGUCCACCGCAUUCGGAAUUUACGGAAACACUGAAUUCGAUAGGCUCUCGAAAACCUUUUUGAGUUGAACGUAAUAAAAAUCGAGCAUUUAUUCCAUAUAUACCAACUGGUAGCAGUCAAAUUCGUACAAAGGCGACAGCGAUACAAGAUGACCCCUUCGAUACUAUUAAAAACAACGAUUCGAAUUUUUACGUAAAAUUUUACGCAAAUUAAUUCGAACGAAAUAUCGAGCUUAUCCAGUUUUUGUUUCGAAAAGAAAAAAAAGUCAACGUUAUAAAAUUCCUCUUACGGGCAUAUUCGUUUGUACACAACGACGAGUCACGUCCCGUUCUUGUUUUCUUUCGUUUCGUUUCGUUUUGUUUUCGUUUUUUUUCCCCCCUCUACGUUAUGCUAGCUUACGCGUUCGAACACGCACACAAGUGCGUCAUCGAAGGGAGGGCCGCUGAUAAAUAAUAAUAUUCCUUUCUCGUAACGCGACUCGACUUUGUGCCGUCAGUAUCUAUUCGGCGGUGCUACGAGUUGGAAUCGAAACUUUUCUCAGAUUCUUGGUCUAUCUCGUCGAAAUUUAUUCCAACGAUACUGCGAAUAUGCGAGGAAAGGUAAACUCACGCUUAGUCUUUGUUCGUGUUCUUCCAAAGAAGAAACGGUAGAGAAGGAGAGGAAUGCGGAGCUGACCGAAGCGUUAUAAUUCAAAGGAAAUGCGCUAGUUUCUUCGCACAGACGACGACGACGACGACGACGACGUUCUCCUCCUCCAUUCUGUACACAUCUACGAACAGACGAAUGAGUCGCAGAGUCACGGAAGACUACACUCUAGGAAGCUUGUUAAGGUCUCUAGUAUCCGACGACUACGACGACGACGACGAAGAAGAGGAGAAGAAGAGAAGAUGACGACACCAUCGUCCUCGACAGCUACUCGCCUCUCGUGGUAUAGUCGUACCGACGUCUAUAUUCCUUAUCUAUACGUGUACUAUACUUUUCUUCGUUCCUUUCUGUCUUUUCUUUUUUUUUUUCUUUUUUACUCACAAACACGCAAACACACGAUAACUACGUGUAUCGCGGAGAAAGCUUUUCUCCUCCUUCGCGACCUCUUUUCCGAUACUCUAUUGUAAAUCGUACUCUUUUUACCUUUGCUUUUCUCGUUUGCUCGAAUUCCCCUUCGACCAAAUCUCGACUCUAGCUCGGUUAAGUAAGAGAUAACUCUUGCGAGUCUCUCGAACACGUGGCCGCAUCGACCAACUUUUCAGUAAUCUCGAUCGAUCAUUCCGACUCGAAGAGACUAAUAAUACCUCUAUCUACAGCUAAUCAUGUUUCUCGUAUCAUCGAGAGUAUCGUUUACCACUCGUUUCAUUGUCUCGAUCGGUUGGCACGAAAUCAUCGAUGCGGAAGAAAGUCGGUGAAACGGAAGAGAGAGAAAGAGAGAAAUAGGGAGAGGGGAAGAGUGAGCGAGAGAGAGAGAGAGAGAGAGACGAGGGAAGGCUAGGAACGUAUUGAUUUUUCGACACACUCGCCCACGUAUCGUGGAAUUUUCUUCGGAUUAUGCUGCGAUCUCUUUCUCUCCCUCUCUGGAACGUCUUCCAGCUUCUUCUCUAUCCUUUGGCAGAUUGCGCGAAAAGCGACGACGUGUGAAGCGCGAUAAGAGAAACUACCGCUAUCGUUCUAUAUAUCGUUCGUUCCAUAUACGAUACGAUGCGAUAGGGAAGACGAAAGCGUUCCUUUUUCGUAGCGUAAUGAACUUUCAUAUCGUAUAUUAAAGAAAGGCUCUUUCGUCACCGGCCAUAAAGGCGGCUGUAUUUCCACCUUCCAAGGGGUUAAUUAAACUUUUUCUUUUAUC